Molecule: transfer RNA, 71 nt
Filed under: Danio rerio (zebrafish)
Lineage: Eukaryota; Metazoa; Chordata; Actinopteri; Cypriniformes; Danionidae
Rfam family: tRNA
About the family: Transfer RNA (tRNA) molecules are approximately 80 nucleotides in length.
Source: Rfam by way of RNAcentral
GCAUUGGUGGUUCAGUGGUAGAAUUCUCCCCUCACACGUGGGAGAGCCGGGUCCGAUUUCCGGCCAAUGCA